AAUCAACGCUGGCGGCGUGCCUAACACAUGCAAGUCGAACGAGAAAGUGGAGCAAUCCAUGAGUAAAGUGGCGCACGGGUGAGUAACACGUGACUAACCUACCCUUGAGUGGGGGAUAACCUAGGGAAACCUGGGCUAAUACCGCAUAAUACCUACGGGUCAAAGGAGCAAUUCGCUUUAGGAGGGGGUCGCGGCAGAUUAGUUAGUUGGCGGGGUAAUGGCCCACCAAGACGAUGAUCNGUAUCCGGCCUGAGAGGGCGCACGGACACACUGGAACUGAAACACGGUCCAGACUCCUACGGGAGGCAGCAGUGGGGAAUUUUGCGCAAUGGGGGAAACCCUGACGCAGCAACGCCGCGUGGAGGAUGAAGACCCUUGGGUCGUAAACUCCUUUCGAUCGGGACGAUAAUGACGGUACCGGAAGAAGAAGCCCCGGCUAACUUCGUGCCAGCAGCCGCCGUAAU
RNAcentral lists this ribosomal RNA (464 nucleotides) under uncultured bacterium. RNAcentral's name for it is "bacterial SSU rRNA". It matches the Rfam family "Bacterial small subunit ribosomal RNA", at positions 32 to 524 of the family's 1533-position model. The record is from RNAcentral.